This is a non-coding RNA of Klebsormidium nitens, 96 nucleotides long. NCBI's taxonomy places the organism in Eukaryota, Viridiplantae, Streptophyta, Klebsormidiophyceae, Klebsormidiales, Klebsormidiaceae. The record is from Rfam.
GAGAGCCGUGUGAUGGGUGACUAUCUCGCACGGUUCGGAGGGAGCUCGAGUAUGGGAAACAACCCAAAAAGUUGUUAGCAGAAAGUUCUACCCUAU